Molecule: non-coding RNA, 267 nt
Organism: Leptonychotes weddellii (Weddell seal)
Lineage: Eukaryota; Metazoa; Chordata; Mammalia; Carnivora; Phocidae
Source: RefSeq, a predicted model, not a curated record
GACUGAGCCACCCAGGCGCCCCAAGAGUACAAUUUUCUUGAUGAGGAUUGAGUAAGGGCAGCCAGGCGUGCCUGAGGAAUGUCACAUGUAUCUCACGGGGCGGGGGCGUUGUGGGGUGUCAGCUGCUGCUUUGUCCUCAGUUUGCCUUCUGCUCCCUCAUCAGUUUGAAUCAUGAUUCGCACAAACCGAUUAAAAAUAAAAACAGUAUGAGACAGACGGAAGACUCUCAACACUGGCUAUUUGAUGAUAAUAAAGGAUAAUGGUUAA